This 496-nucleotide ribosomal RNA is filed under the name uncultured bacterium. Its description in RNAcentral is "partial 16S ribosomal RNA". It matches the Rfam family "Bacterial small subunit ribosomal RNA", at positions 28 to 507 of the family's 1533-position model. The record is from RNAcentral.
GAUGAACGCUGGCGGCGUGCCUAAUACAUGCAAGUCGAGCGAACAGACGAGGAGCUUGCUCCUCUGACGUUAGCGGCGGACGGGUGAGUAACACGUGGAUAACCUACCUAUAAGACUGGGAUAACUUCGGGAAACCGGAGCUAAUACCGGAUAAUAUUUUGAACCGCAUGGUUCAAUAGUGAAAGACGGUCUUGCUGUCACUUAUAGAUGGAUCCGCGCUGCAUUAGCUAGUUGGUAGGUUAACGGCUUACCAGGGCGACAAUGCCUAGCCGACCUGACGGGGGGUUGGCCCACACGGAAGCUGACACACGGUCCAGACCCUAAGGGAAGGCCGCGGAGGGAAAUCUACGGCAUAGGGGGAAAUCCUGAGGAAUCAACGCCAGGUGGUUGUGGAAGUGCUUCGGUUGGUAAACUCUGUUAUUAGGGAAGAACAAAUGUGUAAGUAACUGUGCACAUCUUGACGGUACCUAAUCAGAAAGCCACGGCUAACUACGUG